GAAGUCUACCUAUCUUAUAAAUUUGAGACAAAUUAAAUAGUUAGAUCAAGAGUCAUGAAUUUCUAAAGUUCAAGAAGAGAAAAUCUUUUGCGGAAAAAAUAUGUUUUGAAGGAACUUUUUUAUUUUUUGAGUUUUAUGCAAAUUAAAGGAGUUUUUUGGAAGCUAAGACAAGAUUCAUAUAAAGAUUUAAGUUGAACUCUCUACAGCUAGAUACCUAGUAUAUUCCC
This 227-nucleotide long non-coding RNA is filed under the name Physcomitrium patens. Its description in RNAcentral is "long non-coding RNA (PPAT_LNC001057)". The record is from RNAcentral. Lineage: Eukaryota; Viridiplantae; Streptophyta; Bryopsida; Funariales; Funariaceae.